RNAcentral lists this long non-coding RNA (199 nucleotides) under Sorghum bicolor (sorghum). RNAcentral's name for it is "long non-coding RNA (SBIC_LNC001292)". The record is from RNAcentral. Lineage: Eukaryota; Viridiplantae; Streptophyta; Magnoliopsida; Poales; Poaceae.
CUAAUUGAUGUGGUGGCUCUAGGGCUUGAUCAGAGGCUUCUUCUCCCUGAUAAAUAAUGAAUUAGAGUUGAGAGAGGUGCUCUCCUCCAGGGGCCAGGGGGUCUGGUUAUAUAGUCCUUCCAAGUGAAUAUGGGCCGUCGGAUCAAACCGACAUUGAUUGAACGGUUAUCCUUGAUCCUUUAGGUCGGUGGAGCGUAAU